RNAcentral lists this unclassified non-coding RNA (345 nucleotides) under uncultured Ascomycota. RNAcentral's name for it is "sequence contains ITS1". The stretch from base 1 to 105 matches the Rfam family "5.8S ribosomal RNA", at positions 50 to 154 of the family's 154-position model. The record is from RNAcentral. Lineage: Eukaryota; Fungi; Ascomycota.
GAAAUGCGAUAAGUAAUGUGAAUUGCAGAAUUCAGUGAAUCAUCGAAUCUUUGAACGCACAUUGCGCCCCUUGGUAUUCCGAGGGGCAUGCCUGUUCGAGCGUCAUUUCAACCCUCAAGUAACGCUGUUGGUCGGGUCCCUCCAUUGGUUUGACCCGGCGGACACUGCUUGGCAUUGGGCCCCGCCCUUUCACUAUCGGGCGAGCCUGAAACCCAACGGCGGCUGUGCCUGGCCCCGAGCGUAGUCAAGUUACCCGCUCAGGUGGUUGGAUGCCGCGGCCCGUCGGAGAGUGUUGAUCUCGCACCUUUUGACCUCGGAUCAGGUAGGGAUACCCGCUGAACUUAA